Molecule: transfer RNA, 73 nt
Filed under: Planctomycetaceae bacterium
Lineage: Bacteria; Pseudomonadati; Planctomycetota; Planctomycetia; Planctomycetales; Planctomycetaceae
Description: tRNA-Cys
Rfam family: tRNA
About the family: Transfer RNA (tRNA) molecules are approximately 80 nucleotides in length.
Source: RNAcentral
GGCGUCGUCGCCAAAUGGCUAAGGCAGUGGAUUGCAAAUCCACCAUAUCCCGGUUCAAGUCCGGGCGACGCCU